Molecule: long non-coding RNA, 1417 nt
Organism: Homo sapiens (human)
Lineage: Eukaryota; Metazoa; Chordata; Mammalia; Primates; Hominidae
Gene: PVT1
Product: Pvt1 oncogene
Source: Ensembl
AUAGCGAAUCUUUCUAAAGCUCUGAUCAGUCAAGAAGGGGGUUGUAUCAAUCCUCAGAACCCUGAGUGGAACUUUCUACAGGAUUUAUUAGGAGAAAAACCUUCCCGGAAGCUGCAGAAGGACAAAUACAGAAUCCGUGUCUGGGAGAAACCUCGUGGCCUGGUCUCCAUUAUUUGAGAUGAGUUACAUCUUGGAGGUGAGGACGUGCCUCGUGGUCUAAAGCUUCGGCACAAGGGCCCAACUGGAAUUCCACUUACGGGCCUGAUCUUUUGGCCAGAAGGAGAUUAAAAAGAUGCCCCUCAAGAUGGCUGUGCCUGUCAGCUGCAUGGAGCUUCGUUCAAGUAUUUUCUGAGCCUGAUGGAUUUACAGUGAUCUUCAGUGGUCUGGGGAAUAACGCUGGUGGAACCAUGCACUGGAAUGACACACGCCCGGCACAUUUCAGGAUACUAAAAGUGGUUUUAAGGGAGGCUGUGGCUGAAUGCCUCAUGGAUUCUUACAGCUUGGAUGUCCAUGGGGGACGAAGGACUGCAGCUGGCUGAGAGGGUUGAGAUCUCUGUUUACUUAGAUCUCUGCCAACUUCCUUUGGGUCUCCCUAUGGAAUGUAAGACCCCGACUCUUCCUGGUGAAGCAUCUGAUGCACGUUCCAUCCGGCGCUCAGCUGGGCUUGAGCUGACCAUACUCCCUGGAGCCUUCUCCCGAGGUGCGCGGGUGACCUUGGCACAUACAGCCAUCAUGAUGGUACUUUAAGUGGAGGCUGAAUCAUCUCCCCUUUGAGCUGCUUGGCACGUGGCUCCCUUGGUGUUCCCCUUUUACUGCCAGGACACUGAGAUUUGGAGAGGCAACUACACAGCCAGUGGUGGGAAAGCACCUAAUUUACAUCUUCAUGCAUUGAAACUGAUGUCACUCACCUCUCCCCCUUGACCUGGAAGAGCCCCUGAAGGCUGCCAUAGGGGAAAUGAUAACCCAUUCUACAGCUGCUGAAACUGAGGCCCAGGGAGUGUCCAGAGCUUUCUGAGGUCCACCAUGUACUGUUGACCAGGAUGAGUGAUAGCCACCUGGUGACAAUGUUGAAGGUUCUCAUUCAGUAGAGCUGGGUUCAAUUCUGACUUGCCUGACCAGCUGGUGCCUCAUUUUGCUCUAAGUAUUGGAGCCUCCAGCUUUAUUUUCUUUCAGUGGGAAAGACUGUGAGAUUCAGUCCCUCCUUGAAGCUGCGCAUCGACUCUCCUGUCCUGGGUACUCUUUAGGUAGUGGCUGUUCUGAAGUGGCUUUGGAAACCCUGGAAUGAAACUGUCAUGUCCAAUGCUGAGAUUUGUAUAAACUGUCAUUUUAACUGUGAUUAUUAUUCCUUAGGAUUUGAGAAAUAAAAUCUGAGGAGGGAGCAGGACCUGCCUCAGGGCCUCCUCUCCAAGUUGAGUGA